GAACUCACUCUACCACAGACGUUAUUAACAACUGCUUCUGCAACUGCACAUGUAAACUUUUUAUAUGAUACUUCAAGAGGUUAUAUGCAACAUGAAGAUACCUAUGCAAAGUAAAAGCAGCUUUACCAGAUAGUCAUGAAUGAGACCAGCAAUGUUGGCCUCUAAGGUUUAACAUGUCCCCAUAAGAUGAGCAACACAAAAUACGAAUGUUAAGAUGGAUGUGCUACCAGAAAAAAAAAUCAAACAGGACAAGAAAUGACCACAAUCGAACACAAGGUGCAACUCAGAUGGUAUGAUCACGUCUUAAAACAGACCUCCACAUAUGAUCCACUAUGACGAUAAAAGGUGCAAAGAAAGGAUAAGAUAAACAUACAACGACAUGGAGAGGAAUCGCCACAAAAUAUCUCCAUAUGAGCUUAGUGAAGAACAUAACACAAUAAAAGUAAGGUAUUCUUAGGUUACUUGUUACUCAUGCGCUUAGAUUAGCUAUCAGUGCAGGGAUAAGUGUGAGAUUUAGAUAGUCUCUAAUUUUAGAGUAUACCUAAUUUGUCUUACAAAAAAUUAUUGAGCAUGCAUGAUGAAUAUAGCAGAUUCAUGCAGCAAGCCCCAACUAGCUUUGAAUCGAGGUAUAAUUGUUAUUGUUGUCGUAUUAAACCUACCAUGACAUAUGGCACAUGAAAAUUAGAUGGACCUAAGAUUCCCCGAGUCUGAGCUGAAGUCGAAAAAAUUGGCAGUACCAAGUACAAGAUGGAAAAAAGGAGGUGGAAACUGGAACACCAUACAGACAAUCCACUCUUUACUGCUUAGUUAACCAUGAAACAGCAGGCUCAUUCAUAUAUGUAUAUUACAUAUCAAUGGAUGAGCACAUACAACAACAGUAUGAAUGUCUCAACAACAUAUAGUUAGACUCUACAUCUAAAGCUUCAGAAGUUAACACAACCAUUCUUUGUUCUUUACUGCAGCAAUCCUAACAAUCAGGGAAGCUAGCAAGAGCA
This 995-nucleotide long non-coding RNA is filed under the name Solanum tuberosum (potato). RNAcentral describes it as "long non-coding RNA (STUB_LNC002081)". The record is from RNAcentral. Lineage: Eukaryota; Viridiplantae; Streptophyta; Magnoliopsida; Solanales; Solanaceae.